AGGGGGUUAGGUUAAGGAAGACCAAUGGCCUUCAAAGCUAUUAGUGCGGGUUCGAGUCCCGCACCCCCUG
Molecule: transfer RNA, 70 nt
Filed under: Protanthea simplex
Lineage: Eukaryota; Metazoa; Cnidaria; Anthozoa; Actiniaria; Gonactiniidae
Description: tRNA-Trp
Rfam family: tRNA
About the family: Transfer RNA (tRNA) molecules are approximately 80 nucleotides in length. Their secondary structure includes four short double-helical elements and three loops (D, anti-codon, and T loops).
Source: RNAcentral